AAGCCUGAUCCAGCAAGCCGCGUGAGUGAAGAAGGCCUUCGGGUUGUAAAGCUCUUUUACCCGGGAAGAUAAUGACCGUACCGGGAGAAUAAGCCCCGGCUAACUCCGUGCCAGCAGCCGCGGUAAUACGGAGGGGGCUAGCGUUGUUCGGAAUCACUGGGCGUGAAAGCGUGCGUAGGCGGCCAUUCAAGUCAGAGGUAAAGCCCAGGGCUCAACCCUGGAACUGCCUUUGAAACUAGAUGGCUGGAACACGGGAGAGGUGAGUGGAAUUCCGAGUGUAGAGGUGAAAUUCGUAGAUAUUCGGAAGAACACCAGUGGCGAAGGCGGCUCACUGGACCGUUGUUGACGCUGAGGCACGAAAGCGUGGGGAGCAAACAGGAUUAGAUACCCUGGUAGUCC
This 399-nucleotide ribosomal RNA is filed under the name alpha proteobacterium so03. RNAcentral's name for it is "bacterial SSU rRNA". It matches the Rfam family "Bacterial small subunit ribosomal RNA", at positions 379 to 796 of the family's 1533-position model. The record is from RNAcentral. Lineage: Bacteria; Pseudomonadati; Pseudomonadota; Alphaproteobacteria.